Saimiri boliviensis boliviensis (Bolivian squirrel monkey) is the source of this 1298-nucleotide long non-coding RNA. RefSeq lists it as uncharacterized. NCBI's taxonomy places the organism in Eukaryota, Metazoa, Chordata, Mammalia, Primates, Cebidae. The record is from RefSeq and is a predicted model, not a curated record.
CACACCCUUCAUGGAAUCCUUUUUCUCUCAUCUUUUUCUUUCUCCUUUUACUCUGUGUGGUCCCCCUCCCACUCUUGGGAGAGUGAGAGACCAAAAGCCUGGAGCCCACUGGGGAGCCAGCUGAGCACUCCCCUGCACCCUAAAAACCCGGCAACGUUACUGGUGAGCAAGCAAACGUUACUGGGGUACAGCCAGGAGAAGAAGACAUCAAACUGGACAUCAAACUCCCACCCACAUCAAGAAGCAGAUGCGCCAUGCUUCCAGUACAGCCUGAAGAACUCUGAGCCAAUGUCUUUAUAAAUGAUCCAGUCUCAGGAACGCCUCCUCUUGGAACCCAGACACCUGGUAGGAAGUCUGGCCAACCUGAGACUACCAUCAUGUGAGGAAGCCCAAGCAGCCACUUGAAAAGAGAGAAGGGGGUUACACAUGGAAAAGCACCAAGGUGCCAGAUACGGGAAGGAAGCUCCCACUCUGUCCACAGCCCAUGCACACAUCUGGCUGGUAACUGACUCAGCUGAAGGCUAAUGUCAGUGAAGAGUCCCAGAGAAUGACCCCUGCUGAUGCCACAUAGAGCAGAACCGCUUAAGCCUUGUGGAAAUUUCUGGCUCACAAAAUGGUGGCACACAAAAUGGUUGUUCUUUCAUCUCUAGCCUUUGGGGUAGCUCACUGUGCAGCAAUAUCUAACCAGCACACUUCUGCCAUGCACUGUGCACUUUAGACGCACUGACUCCUUACAAAAGCCCUGUGAGUUUUGAGAAUAUUAUGAUCCCCAAUAUACAGAUGAGGAAACAGGUAGACAGACAGUAACAUGCCCAAAGCUCAAAUAAGCAGUUAGCAGUGCCUAACACACAGGGCUGUUUAGAAUUAAAUGAACUGGCAUACAAGAUGCCUACUCCUGGGUCAUAACGAGUGAUUGAUAUAUGUGAGAAAAGGAACAGACUCAUGAAGAUUGAUGUUAAACUGGCUGGAAAAUUGGGGCAGGGGACACAGUUCCUGUCAUCACACAGUGAAUUCCUUUUGUGACACCAUGAGAGAGAUUUCCCGUGAGCUUCACCACUAGGAACAAGAUGAGCCGUGCGUUUUUUGGUACACAGCUAUGGAGUGUGUGUGUGCACUUCCUGAGGGCCACUGCAAGUACUACUACUUGUUGGUUUCUCUCUUUGCAUUGGCUGCUAGGAAAUUCAGAGCCAAAUCUUCAGCUGAGCUCUAAAAACCAAAGAGGAACUCAUGGCAUCCAUUUUGUUUGCUGAUAUUACUUUGAGUAUCUUCCCAAUUUUUCUAUUUUUCUUUUCCCUUCC